GCCCAGGUGGUGGAAUUGGUAGACGCGCUGGCUUCAGGUGCCAGUACUCGCAAGGGUGUGAAGGUUCGAGUCCUUUCCUGGGCA
This 84-nucleotide transfer RNA is filed under the name Teichococcus aerophilus. RNAcentral's name for it is "tRNA-Leu". It matches the Rfam family "tRNA". Rfam says of the family: Transfer RNA (tRNA) molecules are approximately 80 nucleotides in length. Their secondary structure includes four short double-helical elements and three loops (D, anti-codon, and T loops). RNAcentral also lists the same sequence under 1 other name. The record is from RNAcentral. Lineage: Bacteria; Pseudomonadati; Pseudomonadota; Alphaproteobacteria; Acetobacterales; Roseomonadaceae.